Molecule: ribosomal RNA, 253 nt
Filed under: uncultured bacterium
Lineage: Bacteria
Description: partial 16S ribosomal RNA
Rfam family: Bacterial small subunit ribosomal RNA
Source: RNAcentral
GACGUAGGGCGCGAGCGUUGUCCGGAUUUAUUGGGCGUAAAGAGCUCGUAGGCGGCUUGUCGCGUCGUCCGUGAAAACCUGCAGCUCAACUGCAGGCUUGCGGUCGAUACGGGCAGGCUAGAGUUCGGUAGGGGAGACUGGAAUUCCUGGUGUAGCGGUGAAAUGCGCAGAUAUCAGGAGGAACACCGGUGGCGAAGGCGGGUCUCUGGGCCGAUACUGACGCUGAGGAGCGAAGGCGUGGGGAGCGAACAGG